Molecule: non-coding RNA, 72 nt
Filed under: Acholeplasma oculi
Lineage: Bacteria; Bacillati; Mycoplasmatota; Mollicutes; Acholeplasmatales; Acholeplasmataceae
Description: Fluoride sequence
Rfam family: Fluoride riboswitch aptamer (crcB RNA motif)
Source: Rfam by way of RNAcentral
AUAGAUAAAGGGAAUGAAGUGCUCCCUUCGUACAUACGUAAACCGCUUAUUGCUGAUGACUUCUACAGAUUU